Molecule: non-coding RNA, 507 nt
Organism: Danio rerio (zebrafish)
Lineage: Eukaryota; Metazoa; Chordata; Actinopteri; Cypriniformes; Danionidae
Source: RefSeq, a predicted model, not a curated record
CAAAUCACACAGAACAAUUCCAUUGUGAAUGGGUCUGGUUUGAUCACAUCUGUUAUCUAGGUAUAGUGUCUUUUCAUAAUACUGUAUCUUUACAUUGCAGGGUCAUCGCAACAAAUUAGUAAAGAAACAAAUGAAGAACCAGACACAAUAAAGAAGAAAACGGUGUGUGUAUGGAGGAGAUUUGGGAGGUAUUUGCCUCCAGGAAAAAGCAACACCUCAUGUUUCCCACUGAGUUAACAGUGUCUCCACAAUAAAGGUGAUUUAACCAACCAAAAAAACAUCUUUGUUCAUUCAGUAUGAAAGCAAAAUGAAAGAUGAAGAUGCUGUCAGACACCGACACAAAGAGAGCAAAUGUUCAGAGAAACAAAGAAAGACAAACACACACAGCUCUGUUCAGAUGAUUUGUCGUCAAAUUUCUUUUCAUGAGUUGUGCUUUGCUUAUGACGACAGCAACCAAACACAAAAUAAAUAAUUUGUAUAACAACAAUAAAAUAAGAAGUCAAAAAA